RNAcentral lists this long non-coding RNA (218 nucleotides) under Lathyrus oleraceus (garden pea). RNAcentral's name for it is "Pisum sativum (pea) long non-coding RNA (PSAT_LNC028866)". The record is from RNAcentral. Lineage: Eukaryota; Viridiplantae; Streptophyta; Magnoliopsida; Fabales; Fabaceae.
UAGUUUUAAACUUACUAUUUUAGGAAAGUUAGUUGAAAGGUGGUUAAGCAAGGUUGUCAGUGGAGUUAGUUACACAUGCUUAUCACCUAUAUAACCUUUCAUAUUGUAUCUUUUGAUGGAGUUUCUAUGGCUUUUUGUUCAAAUUUCAUAGCUUAAUCAUGAGCAAUUUUAGUUCUUAACAUGGUAUCACACGCCAUAUCGAUCUACCUAUUCUUCUU